AGGGGAGCCCCGUUCCCGCGGCAGGACGGCGGCCCGCGCCCGGCCCGGAACGAGCCGCCAGCCUCGCUCUGCCCGCGGGGCUCCGCGCUGCCCACACGGUGGAGCUGGCCGCGCGCAGAAGCCCCGGGCCCUCUUCUGGUUACAGCGGCCGCGAGCGAAAGGCUGCGGCGGCUGCAGCGCAGGGCACGGCCCGCUGGUCCCCUACCAGGUACACACGAUACUAGCUCGAGACGGAGCAGCUUCACGUCAGUACACUUGUCUGUCUUGAAACAGCCUCCUGAAACAUCAAACGUUUGGCAGCCCUUCAGCUGCAGAUAGCUCGAAGGCGCUUCCUGUUUAUGGGCAAUAACUGCACUCGGACUAAACUGCAUCUCGAGCUAAAGUAGCAACGCACGUUAACUUAGAGCACGGUUUCUCCUAGCACCGACAGAAACGAAUAAGCACCAACGUCACGGCGGAAUGCAGAACAACUCACUGUUUUGAGCUACAUGGCGACUAGAACCACGCCUGCGGGGUCUUCCAGGGCAGGGGGCGGGCGGCGGCAGCGCGGAGCGGUGGCGGCGCGUCCGGCCGCGGUGGACUGACAGGUGCCGGCUCUAGCGGCGCGCGGCCUGCAGCGCGGGACCCACCGGCGCGAGGCGGGAGGGCGCCGCCGCCAUUUUGCUGCGCUAAUCCCGAGUGUUCAGAGCUUGAAGCUGACCACUGCAAAGGCCACUUGUCACAUUUACU
RNAcentral lists this long non-coding RNA (729 nucleotides) under Gallus gallus (chicken). The record is from RNAcentral. Lineage: Eukaryota; Metazoa; Chordata; Aves; Galliformes; Phasianidae.